Molecule: ribosomal RNA, 551 nt
Filed under: uncultured Planctomycetota bacterium
Lineage: Bacteria; Pseudomonadati; Planctomycetota
Description: bacterial SSU rRNA
Rfam family: Bacterial small subunit ribosomal RNA
Source: RNAcentral
CGGAGCGACGCCGCGUGUGGGAUGAAGGCCCUCGGGUUGUAAACCACUGUCAGAGGGGAUGAAAUUGUUGGAGGCUAUCCUUCUUGAUUGACAGAGCCUCAGAGGAAGCACGGGCUAAGUACGUGCCAGCAGCCGCGGUAACACGUACUGUGCGAACGUUAUUCGGAAUCACUGGGCUUAAAGGGUGCGUAGGCGGCUUCAUAAGUCAGGUGUGAAAUCCCACGGCUCAACCGUGGAACUGCGCUUGAAACUAUCUAGCUUGAGUAUCUCAGGGGUGUGCGGAACUUCCGGUGGAGCGGUGAAAUGUGUUGAUAUUGGAAGGAACACCGGUAGCGAAAGCGGCUCACUGGGGGAUGUCUGACGCUGAGGCACGAAAGCUAGGGGAGCGAACAGGAUUAGAUACCCUGGUAGUCCUAGCUGUAAACGAUGAGCACUAGAUGGGAGGAGGCUCGCCUCGUCCGGUCGCAGCGAAAGCAUUAAGUGCUCCCCCUGGGGAGUAUGGUCGCAAGGCUGAAACUCAAAAGAAUUGACGGGGCUCCACACAAAAAAAA